AGUGAACGCUGGCGGUAGGCCUAACACAUGCAAGUCGAACGGCAACACAGUAAGAGCUUGCUCUUACGGGUGGCGAGUGGCGGACGGGUGAGGAAUACAUCGGAAUCUAAUUUUUCGUGGGGGAUAACGUAGGGAAACUUACGCUAAUACAGCAUACCACCUACGGGUGAAAGUAGGGGAUCUUCGGACCUUUCGCGAUUGAAUGAGCCGAUGUCGGACUAGCUAGUUGGCGGGGUAAAGGCCCACCAAGGCGACGAUCCGUAGCUGGUCUGAGAGGAGGAUCGGCCACACUGGAACUUAGACACGGUCCAGACUCCUACGGGAGGCAGCAGUGGGGAAUAUUGGACAAUGGGCGCAAGCCUGAUCCAGCCAUACCGCGUGGGUGAAGAAGGCCUUCGGGUUGUAAAGCCCUUUUGUUGGGAAAGAAAAGCAGCAGGUUAAUACCCCGCUGUUCUGACGGUACCCAAAGAAUAAGCACCGGCUAACUUCGUG
Molecule: ribosomal RNA, 492 nt
Filed under: uncultured bacterium
Lineage: Bacteria
Description: partial 16S ribosomal RNA
Rfam family: Bacterial small subunit ribosomal RNA
Source: RNAcentral